GAUGAAUUCAUGGGAUCCAGGGAUGGAUUUGGGGGAUCCAGGGAUGGAUUAAUGAGAUCCAGGGAUGGAUUUGGGGGAUCAAUGGAUGGAUUUGUGGGAUCCAGGGAUGGAUUCAUGGGAUCAAUGGAUAGAUUUGUGGGAUCCAGGGUUGAAUUAAUGAGAUCCCACAGAUGGAUGGAUUCAUGGGAUCAGUGGAUGUGUUCAUGGGAUCCAGGGAUGGAUUAAUGAGAUCCCACAGAAGGAUCCAUGGCAUCAAUGGAUGGACUGUGGGAUCCAGGGAUGGAUUGUGGGAUCAGUGGAUGGAUUUGUGGGAUCAGUGGAUGGAUUAAUGAGGUCCAUGGAUGGAUUUGUGGGAUCAAUGGAUGCAUUCAUGGGAUCAUUGGAGGGAUUUGUGGGAUCCAAGGAUGGAUUUGUGGGAUCCAGGGAUGGAUUAACGACACC
RNAcentral lists this long non-coding RNA (441 nucleotides) under Manacus vitellinus (golden-collared manakin). RNAcentral describes it as "lncRNA (ENSMVIG00005016720.1)". Lineage: Eukaryota; Metazoa; Chordata; Aves; Passeriformes; Pipridae. The record is from RNAcentral.